RNAcentral lists this long non-coding RNA (1779 nucleotides) under Homo sapiens (human). RNAcentral describes it as "HSALNT0407529". The record is from RNAcentral. Lineage: Eukaryota; Metazoa; Chordata; Mammalia; Primates; Hominidae.
GAGACCCGGAUAAAGGGAUCGCGGCACCGGUUCGAGAACCCUCGCCGCCACAACAAUUGCAACACCAACCAAUUGAGCAGCUGCGUGGGACCUCGACGACGCCCACGGGCCAAUCACAGGCGAGUGCUCGCCCUCCGGUGCCCUCCGUCUCAAAUUUCAGUCAAAGUCGACACCCUGGUUCCCAGCCUUUCUCCCCGUCAGUUCCGUCUUGCUCUUCACUUUUCUCCCCGAAGCUCUGACCUGCAGGCGUCGGUACUGCGGACGGACAGCGUGGCCUGUCCCACGUACGACAGGAAAAACACCUCCCCUCCAGGAUUCCAACUUGAACGCUGUCAGCCGGAAUGACUGGAAAACAUCAACACUCCCGGGAGCAUAGCUGGCCCCUGUAGCGUCACUUCCGGUCCCACCCACCUACAAAUACCCUUCCGGGGGAGGCGGACACCGCUUCGCCCCGGCAACAGCCUGAGUUCUGCGGUGAUUGGUUAAGAGACGCCGUCACUCGCGGCAUACCGACCAACCUUGGGACAGACAGGCGCCGUGGGGACAGUGGUUGUUUGGGAAACAGACACGCCUUCUCUGGCACCACAGCACUCUCGGCCUCGCGUUGACCUCCCCGCCCCUAUGGCUAGUGCGCAGGCGCGGCCCAGCCUUUUUUUUUUUUUUUUUUUUUUUUUUUCCUAAUUGAGACAGGGGUCUCACUCUGUCGCCCAGGUUGGAAUGCAGUGGCGCGAUCAUAGCUCACUGCAAACUCCAACUCCCAGGUUCAAGCGAUCCUCCCGCCUCAGCCUCCCGAAUAGCUGGGACCACAGGCGCGCACCACUACGACCGGCUAAUUUUUUUUUCACUUUUUUGUAGGGACAAAGUCUCACUAUGUUGCCCAGGCUGAUCUCCAGCUCCCGGGCUCAAGCGAUCCUCCCGCCUCGGCUUCCCAGAGUGCUGGGAUUACAGGCGUUAGUCACCGCGCCUGGCCAAGCCCAGCCUUUUUCUAAAACUGAGUUUGCUUGGGUCGAUCGAGGUUUAUGAAAGCUCUGUCACCAGUCAGCGUCUCAAAAUGGGGUUGGCAGAAUCCCUGCUAUUGAGUAGCUGGAGAGCUACACGCUAAUCCUAGCUCUGCCCUUCCUGUCUGAGUGAUCUUUGUCAGUCAUUUAAAACCCACCCCGUCCUCAAUUUUUGUUGUUGUUGUUUACUUUUUUAUAGAACGCUUCACGUAUUUGCGUGUCAUCCUUUCGCAUAGUGCCAUGCUAAUCUCUGUAUCGUUCUAAUUUUAGUAUAUGUGGUGCGAAGUGAGCACCCAUCCUUAAUUUCUAUUCUAUAAAUUGGCAAUAAUUCUAAUCCGAGGAUCAGAGAUUAAUGCUUGUGAAGGGCCUGGUGCUGUGCCCAGCACAUAGGAAGUGUUCAAUAAAGUAGUCUGCAUGGUGGUGCAGUGGAAGGAUCCCAGGCUUUGGAGCCAGAAAGACCUCAGUUCCAGGCACAGAUGGACCAUUACCAACUGUAUGACCUUGAGCAAGUCAUUGUGUCACUUUUGAGAUUACCCAUGUGUAAAACAGGAAUGAUAAUACCUGCCCAGACUACCUCAGGGAAUGGUUAUGGGGUUCAGAUGAGCUGAUGAACCAAGAAGGUAUUUGGAGUUCACUUCCAGUCUUAGGAGACAAACCAUACAACAGGUUGACUGAAAGAGACCAUGGGAAAGCUGUUUUGAGUAUAGCCUUGCCUCCCUUGAGAUACUAACCCUAGUUGAAAUUCUUCCCUGAAAGGUGUAAGUAAUAAAUGGGCUCUAAG